This 964-nucleotide ribosomal RNA is filed under the name Pycnoporus sp. (in: basidiomycete fungi). RNAcentral's name for it is "Pycnoporus sp. (in: Fungi) partial large subunit ribosomal RNA". It matches the Rfam family "Eukaryotic large subunit ribosomal RNA", at positions 35 to 985 of the family's 3401-position model. Lineage: Eukaryota; Fungi; Basidiomycota; Agaricomycetes; Polyporales; Polyporaceae. The record is from RNAcentral.
AUAGCAUAUCAAUAAGCGGAGGAAAAGAAACUAACAAGGAUUCCCUAGUAACUGCGAGUGAAGCGGGAAAAGCUCAAAUUUAAAAUCUGGCGGUCUUUGGCCGUCCGAGUUGUAGUCUGGAGAAGUGCUUUCCGCGCUGGACCGUGUAUAAGUCUCUUGGAACAGAGCGUCAUAGAGGGUGAGAAUCCCGUCUUUGACACGGACUACCAGUGCUUUGUGAUGCGCUCUCAAAGAGUCGCGUUGUUUGGGAAUGCAGCGCAAAAUGGGUGGUGAAUUCCAUCUAAAGCUAAAUAUUGGCGAGAGACCGAUAGCGAACAAGUACCGUGAGGGAAAGAUGAAAAGCACUUUGGAAAGAGAGUUAAACAGUACGUGAAAUUGCUGAAAGGGAAACGCUUGAAGUCAGUCGCGUUGUCCGGGACUCAGCCUUGCUUCGGCUUGGUGCACUUUCCGGAUGACGGGCCAGCAUCGAUUUUGACCGCUGGAAAAGGGCUGGAGGAAUGUGGCACCUUCGGGUGUGUUAUAGCCUCCAGUCGCAUACGGCGGUUGGGAUCGAGGAACGCAGCACGCCUUACGGCGGGGGUUCGCCCACCUUCGUGCUUAGGAUGCUGGCAUAAUGGCUUUAAACGACCCGUCUUGAAACACGGACCAAGGAGUCUAACAUGCCUGCGAGUGUUUGGGUGGAAAACCCGAGCGCGUAAUGAAAGUGAAAGUCGGGACCUCUGUCGUGGAGGGCACCGACGCCCGGACCUGACGUUCUCUGACGGAUCCGCGGUAGAGCAUGUAUGUUGGGACCCGAAAGAUGGUGAACUAUGCCUGAAUAGGGUGAAGCCAGAGGAAACUCUGGUGGAGGCUCGUAGCGAUUCUGACGUGCAAAUCGAUCGUCAAAUUUGGGUAUAGGGGCGAAAGACUAAUCGAACCAUCUAGUAGCUGGUUCCUGCGAUCUUCCCCCCCCCAGAAAAUAAAA